Molecule: long non-coding RNA, 522 nt
Filed under: Malus domestica (apple)
Lineage: Eukaryota; Viridiplantae; Streptophyta; Magnoliopsida; Rosales; Rosaceae
Description: long non-coding RNA (MDOM_LNC010328)
Source: RNAcentral
UAUGAUUACCUUGAAUGUGAUUUGGAACGACUUCCUAAAUCUCAUUCAUAUUCUGGCCAGAGAUUCUUAAUCAUAUCAUAGAGUAUUCUCCCCCCAAACGGUUUAAAGGUUAGAGAUCCCUUGUUGCGCAUUCACUUGCCUCCAUGGCUAAGUGGCUUAACCCCAACUAUGCCGUGGACACCCUCUGACGGAGUGACUUUGACAUAAUCACAGAUCAAUGACCUAACCACAAGACAACUAUGAUGCCUCAGGUCAAAUGACUACUUUGCAUUAUCCCAACCAUGAGUUCUCAUGUGACAUGAGUAUGAGAACUCCUCGUUGAUCGUGUUCAGUGGACUCAUUCACUAUUGAGCACCUACAUGCUUGUCUUGAUGUCACACACACCAAUGACUCGAGACUAGUCAUUCUCCCUGAGAGAAGACACAGCACGUACUGAUCUUAACGGACUGUCAAUACCCAAUUGGCAAUCCUAUGAUCAGGAACGUUUAGGAUGUGUCUACGAAAGAAUGGUCUCAUGAAUCU